RNAcentral lists this ribosomal RNA (484 nucleotides) under uncultured bacterium. Its description in RNAcentral is "partial 16S ribosomal RNA". It matches the Rfam family "Bacterial small subunit ribosomal RNA", at positions 30 to 507 of the family's 1533-position model. The record is from RNAcentral.
AUUGAACGCUGGCGACAGGCCUAACACAUGCAAGUCGAGCGGAUGAAGGGAGCUUGCUCCUGGAUUCAGCGGCGGACGGGUGAGUAAUGCCUAGGAAUCUGCCUGGUAGUGGGGGAUAACGUCCGGAAACGGGCGCUAAUACCGCAUACGUCCUGAGGGAGAAAGUGGGGGAUCUUCGGACCUCACGCUAUCAGAUGAGCCUAGGUCGGAUUAGCUAGUUGGUGGGGUAAAGGCCUACCAAGGCGACGAUCCGUAACUGGUCUGAGAGGAUGAUCAGUCACACUGGAACUGAGACACGGUCCAGACUCCUACGGGAGGCAGCACUGGGGAAUAUUGGACAAUGGGCGAAAGCCUGAUCCAGCCAUGCCGCGUGCGUGAAGAAGGUCUUCGGAUUGUAAAGCACUUUAAGUUGGGAGGAAGGGCAGUAAGUUAAUACCUUGCUGUUUUGACGUUACCAACAGAAUAAGCACCGGCUAACUUCGUG